GCCAGAGAGAUGGAUCAGCCAGGGAAGAAGAUUGAACAAGGUUCUUCCAGAAGACCAACUUUGGUACCCACACUGGAUGGCUCACAACCACCGACAAGGUCUCACUAUGUACCCCAGGCUGGUCAUGAAUUCAAGACAAUUUUCUUGCCCCUGCUGUGGCCUCUCCAGGUCUGAAAGUAUAGGACCACCAAACCAGGCAACAAUAAAAAAAUCCUUUCUUGGCAACUGAGAAAAUGUUGCCAGAAGAUGGUGCAAGAGAGGCAGUGUCAUGGUUUUCGGGGCUGCACUGCCAUCGUGUGGUUAUAAGCGGAGAUACAGAGCGUCCUCCACCUCUUGGACACCUUCGG
RNAcentral lists this long non-coding RNA (347 nucleotides) under Cricetulus griseus (Chinese hamster). Its description in RNAcentral is "lncRNA (ENSCGRG00015037744.1)". The record is from RNAcentral. Lineage: Eukaryota; Metazoa; Chordata; Mammalia; Rodentia; Cricetidae.